RNAcentral lists this ribosomal RNA (468 nucleotides) under uncultured bacterium. Its description in RNAcentral is "partial 16S ribosomal RNA". It matches the Rfam family "Bacterial small subunit ribosomal RNA", at positions 28 to 507 of the family's 1533-position model. The record is from RNAcentral.
GACGAACGCUGGCGGCGUGCUUAACACAUGCAAGUCGAACGGAAAGGCCCUGCUUUUGUGGGGUGCUCGAGUGGCGAACGGGUGAGUAACACGUGAGUAACCUGCCCUUGACUUUGGGAUAACUUCAGGAAACUGGGGCUAAUACCGGAUAGGAGCUCCUGCUGCAUGGUGGGGGUUGGAAAGUUUCGGCGGUUGGGGAUAGACUCGCGGCUUAUCAGCUUGUUGGUGGGGUAGUGGCUUACCAAGGCUUUGACGGGUAGCAGGCCUGAGAGGGUGACCGGCCACAUUGGGACUGAGAUACGGCCCAGACUCCUACGGGAGGCAGCAGUGGGGAAUAUUGCACAAUGGGCGGACGCCUGAUGCAGCAACGCCGCGUGCGGGAUGACGGCCUUCUGGUUGUAAACCGCUUUCGCCUGUGACGAAGCGUGAGUGACGGUAAUGGGUAAAGAAGCACCGGCUAACUACGUG